CCUUUUGUAGUUUAUUACCAAACAUUAUAUUUUCAUUAUAAAAAAGAUUAUAUCCAAAAGUU
RNAcentral lists this transfer RNA (62 nucleotides) under Paratrioza sinica. RNAcentral's name for it is "tRNA-Glu". Lineage: Eukaryota; Metazoa; Arthropoda; Insecta; Hemiptera; Triozidae. The record is from RNAcentral. RNAcentral also lists the same sequence under 1 other name.